UACAGAGGGUGCGAGCGUUAAUCGGAUUUACUGGGCGUAAAGCGCGCGUAGGCGGUUUGGUAAGUCGGAUGUGAAAGCCCAGGGCUUAACCUUGGAAUUGCAUUCGAUACUGCUGAACUAGAGUAUGGUAGAGGGAAGUGGAAUUUCCGGUGUAGCGGUGAAAUGCGUAGAUAUCGGAAGGAACACCAGUGGCGAAGGCGACUUCCUGGGCCAAUACUGACGCUGAGGUGCGAAAGCGUGGGGAGCAAACAGG
Molecule: unclassified non-coding RNA, 253 nt
Filed under: uncultured Gammaproteobacteria bacterium
Lineage: Bacteria; Pseudomonadati; Pseudomonadota; Gammaproteobacteria
Description: contains 16S-23S intergenic spacer region
Rfam family: Bacterial small subunit ribosomal RNA
Source: RNAcentral